RNAcentral lists this transfer RNA (66 nucleotides) under Mukaria splendida. Its description in RNAcentral is "tRNA-Val". Lineage: Eukaryota; Metazoa; Arthropoda; Insecta; Hemiptera; Cicadellidae. The record is from RNAcentral.
CAAAUUAUAGCUUAUAUAAUAAAGCUUAUUAUUUACACUAAUAUGAAAUUUUUUUAUUUAAUUUGA